RNAcentral lists this ribosomal RNA (459 nucleotides) under uncultured bacterium. RNAcentral's name for it is "partial 16S ribosomal RNA". It matches the Rfam family "Bacterial small subunit ribosomal RNA", at positions 338 to 795 of the family's 1533-position model. The record is from RNAcentral.
CCUACGGGUGGCAGCAGUGAGGAAUAUUGGUCAAUGGCCGAGAGGCUGAACCAGCCAAGUCGCGUGAGGGAAGACGGCCCUACGGGUUGUAAACCUCUUUUGUCGGGGAGCAAAGCGAGUCACGUGUGCACCAUUGAGAGUACCCGAAGAAAAAGCAUCGGCUAACUCCGUGCCAGCAGCCGCGGUAAUACGGAGGAUGCGAGCGUUAUCCGGAUUUAUUGGGUUUAAAGGGUGCGCAGGCGGGGGGGCAAGUCAGCGGUCAAAUUGCGGGGCUCAACCCCGUACUGCCGUUGAAACUGGGAAGCUGGAGUGCAGGAGAGGUAAGCGGAAUGCGUGGUGUAGCGGUGAAAUGCGUAGAUAUCAGGAGGAACGCCGGCGGCGAAGGCAGCUUACUGGAGUGUAACUGACGUUGAGGCUCGAAGGCGCGGGGAGCAAACAGGAUUAGAUACCCCAGUAGUC